UUGAAGAGUUUGAUCAUGGCUCAGAUUGAACGCUGGCGGCAGGCCUAACACAUGCAAGUCGAACGGUAACAGAAAGCAGCUUGCUGCUUUGCUGACGAGUGGCGGACGGGUGAGUAAUGUCUGGGAAACUGCCUGAUGGAGGGGGAUAACUACUGGAAACGGUAGCUAAUACCGCAUAACGUCGCAAGACCAAAGAGGGGGACCUUAGGGCCUCUUGCCAUCGGAUGUGCCCAGAUGGGAUUAGCUAGUAGGUGGGGUAACGGCUCACCUAGGCGACGAUCCCUAGCUGGUCUGAGAGGAUGACCAGCCACACUGGAACUGAGACACGGUCCAGACUCCUACGGGAGGCAGCAGUGGGGAAUAUUGCACAAUGGGCGCAAGCCUGAUGCAGCCAUGCCGCGUGUAUGAAGAAGGCCUUCGGGUUGUAAAGUACUUUCAGCGGGGAGGAAGGGAGUAAAGUUAAUACCUUUGCUCAUUGACGUUACCCGCAGAAGAAGCACCGGCUAACUCCGUGCCAGCAGCCGCGGUAAUACGGAGGGUGCAAGCGUUAAUCGGAAUUACUGGGCGUAAAGCGCACGCAGGCGGUUUGUUAAGUCAGAUGUGAAAUCCCCGGGCUCAACCUGGGAACUGCAUCUGAUACUGGCAAGCUUGAGUCUCGUAGAGGGGGGUAGAAUUCCAGGUGUAGCGGUGAAAUGCGUAGAGAUCUGGAGGAAUACCGGUGGCGAAGGCGGCCCCCUGGACGAAGACUGACGCUCAGGUGCGAAAGCGUGGGGAGCAAACAGGAUUAGAUACCCUGGUAGUCCACGCCGUAAACGAUGUCGACUUGGAGGUUGUGCCCUUGAGGCGUGGCUUCCGGAGCUAACGCGUUAAGUCGACCGCCUGGGGAGUACGGCCGCAAGGUUAAAACUCAAAUGAAUUGACGGGGGCCCGCACAAGCGGUGGAGCAUGUGGUUUAAUUCGAUGCAACGCGAAGAACCUUACCUGGUCUUGACAUCCACGGAAGUUUUCAGAGAUGAGAAUGUGCCUUCGGGAACCGUGAGACAGGUGCUGCAUGGCUGUCGUCAGCUCGUGUUGUGAAAUGUUGGGUUAAGUCCCGCAACGAGCGCAACCCUUAUCCUUUGUUGCCAGCGGUCCGGCCGGGAACUCAAAGGAGACUGCCAGUGAUAAACUGGAGGAAGGUGGGGAUGACGUCAAGUCAUCAUGGCCCUUACGACCAGGGCUACACACGUGCUACAAUGGCGCAUACAAAGAGAAGCGACCUCGCGAGAGCAAGCGGACCUCAUAAAGUGCGUCGUAGUCCGGAUUGAGUCUGCAACUCGACUCCAUGAAGUCGGAAUCGCUAGUAAUCGUGGAUCAGAAUGCCACGGUGAAUACGUUCCCGGGCCUUGUACACACCGCCCGUCACACCAUGGGAGUGGGUUGCAAAAGAAGUAGGUAGCUUAACCUUCGGGAGGGCGCUUACCACUUUGUGAUUCAUGACUGGGGUGAAGUCGUAACAAGGUAACCGUAGGGGAACCUGCGGUUGGAUCACCUCCUU
Molecule: ribosomal RNA, 1537 nt
Filed under: Escherichia coli
Lineage: Bacteria; Pseudomonadati; Pseudomonadota; Gammaproteobacteria; Enterobacterales; Enterobacteriaceae
Description: bacterial SSU rRNA
Rfam family: Bacterial small subunit ribosomal RNA
Source: RNAcentral